UAGUCCUAGCUGUAAACGAUGAGCACUGGGUCGUGGUCGUCCCGAACGAUCUCGGCCGCAAAGAAAUUGUUAAGUGCUCCGCCUGGGGAGUAUGGCCGCAAGGCUGAAACUCAAAGGAAUUGACGGGGGCUCACACAAGCGGUGGAGGAUGUGGCUUAAUUCGAGGCUACGCGAAGAACCUUAUCCUGGUCUUGACAUGGUUGGAUGUGCCGCCCGAAAGGGAUGGUUACUGCCUUCGGGUGAAACAAUCACAGGUGCUGCAUGGCUGUCGUCAGCUCGUGUCGUGAGAUGUCGGGUUAAGUCCCUUAACGAGCGAAACCCUUAUCUUUAGUUGCCAGCGAGUAAUGUCGGGGACUCUAGAGAGACUGCCGGUGUUAAACCGGGAGGAAGGUGGGGGAUGACGUCAAGUCCUCAUGGCCUUUAUGACCAGGGGCU
This 435-nucleotide ribosomal RNA is filed under the name uncultured bacterium. RNAcentral's name for it is "bacterial SSU rRNA". It matches the Rfam family "Bacterial small subunit ribosomal RNA", at positions 791 to 1215 of the family's 1533-position model. The record is from RNAcentral.